UAAUAGCGUAUACUUAAGUUGUUGCAGUUAAAAAGCUCGUAGUCGGAUUUUGGCUGAGAACGAUCGGUCCGCCGUUAGGUGUGCACUGAUUGGUCUCAGCUUCCUGGUGAGGAGGUGUGCUUCACGGCCACUUAGUCACCGUGGUUACUUUGAAAAAAUUAGAGUGUUCAAAGCGGGCUUACGCUUGAAUAUAUUAGCAUGGAAUAACACCAUAGGACUCCUGUCCUAUUUCGUUGGUCUCGGGACGGGAGUAAUGAUUAAGAGGAACAGUUGGGGGCAUUCGUAUUUCAUUGUCAGAGGUGAAAUUCUUGGAUUUAUGAAAGACGAACUUCUGCGAAAGCAUUUGCCAAGGAUGUUUUCAUUGA
This 365-nucleotide ribosomal RNA is filed under the name uncultured eukaryote. RNAcentral describes it as "partial 18S ribosomal RNA". It matches the Rfam family "Eukaryotic small subunit ribosomal RNA", at positions 592 to 976 of the family's 1831-position model. The record is from RNAcentral.